RNAcentral lists this long non-coding RNA (337 nucleotides) under Helianthus annuus (common sunflower). The record is from RNAcentral. Lineage: Eukaryota; Viridiplantae; Streptophyta; Magnoliopsida; Asterales; Asteraceae.
GCAGGACGGGGGGCAGGGAAGGCGAAAGCCGCGAAGGAGGGGGAACAACGCACCGGCCGAAGCAACGAGCCCCGAAAAGGGAGGGCGCGGAAGCGCGCGACCGACACCCGGCCGGCGAGGCAAGGGCCAGGCCCCGAGGAGGAGGAGGGCGCGGCGGGCGCGGCAAAACCGGGGCGGGAGCCCGGGCGGAGCGGCCGGCGGGGCGGAGCGGGGGGAGGAGCAAAGAGGCAAAGGAGAACGGGAAGGCCGAAGAGGGGAAAGGGCCAGGGGAACGGCACGGGCACAGGGGGAGGCGAGCCGAAGAGACGGGGGAAGCCCGGCAGAGAGCGGGGGCACG